Molecule: ribosomal RNA, 2879 nt
Filed under: Prevotellaceae bacterium
Lineage: Bacteria; Pseudomonadati; Bacteroidota; Bacteroidia; Bacteroidales; Prevotellaceae
Description: 23S ribosomal RNA
Rfam family: Bacterial large subunit ribosomal RNA
Source: RNAcentral
AGAUAAAUAAGCAAGGGCGGACGGGGGAUGCCUAGGCUUCCGUAAGGCGAAGAAGGACGUGGUAAGCUGCGAAAAUUUGCGGGGAUUUGCAAACGAGAUUAGAUCCGCAAUUAUCCGAAUGGGGCAACCCAACAGAAUAGUAUUCUGUUACUCGAGAGAGAGCAAACCCUCUGAACUGAAACAUCUAAGUAGGAGGAGGAAAAGAAAGAAAUAUCGAUUUUCUGAGUAGUGGCGAGCGAAAAGGAAAUAGCCUAAACCAUAAUUGUGAUAGCAAAUAUGGGGUUGCAGGACUACAUUAAUUUUGAUAUUGAGCAAGUGGAAUUAUCUGGAAAGAUAAAUCGAAGAGGGUGAAAAUCCCGUACACGUAGAAUUGGUAUUAAGAAGUAGUAUCCUAAGUAUGGCAGGGCACGAAGAACCCGGUCAGAAUCAGCGGGGACCAUCCCGCAAGGCUAAAUACGGACGGAAGACCGAUAGUGAACCAGUACUGUGAAGGAAAGGUGAAAAGAACCGCGAACAGCGGAGUGCAAUAGAACCUGAAACCGUUCGCCUACAAGCGGUCGGAGCUGUGGUAACACAGUGACGGCGUGCCUUUUGCAUAAUGAGCCUACGAGUUGCUCCAUACUAGCGAGGUUAAAUACUUAAGGUAUGGAAUCGAAGCGAAAGCGAGUUUUAACAGGGCGUUAAGUUAGUAUGGGCAGACGCGAAACCUUGCGAUCUACCCUUGAGCAGGUUGAAGUAGCCGUAACAGGCUAUGGAGGACCGAACCAGUUUCCGUUGAAAAGGAUUUGGAUGACUUGAGGGUAGGGGUGAAAGGCUAAUCAAGCUGGGAGAUAGCUCGUACUCCCCGAAAUGUCUUUUGGGACAGCCUUGUAAAUUACGACAGGAGGUAGAGCUACCGAUAAGAUGAGAGGGCUUCAACGCCUAUCGAGUCUUGACGAACUCCGAAUGCCAGUCAGUAUAAUUACAGGAGUGAGCCGUCGGGUGCUAAUGUCCGGCGACGAGAGGGAAAGAACCCGGACCAUCAACUAAGGUCCCCAAACAUGAUUUAAGUUGCGAGAACGAAGUGCGGCAGCAGAGACAGCUAGGAUGUUGGCUUGGAAGCAGCCAUUCAUUUAAAGAGUGCGUAACAGCUCACUAGUCGAGCGGCUGUGCAUGGAUAAUAAGCGGGCAUCAAGAUCAUUACCGAAGUUAUGGAAUAAUAUAAAUAUUAUUGGUAGGGGAGCAUUCUGACAGCGUAGAAGAUAAUUUGUAAGGAUUAUUGGAGCGGUCAGAAAAGCAAAUGUAGGCAUAAGUAACGAUAAAGCGGGUGGGAACCCCGCUCACCGAAAGACCAAGGUUUCCUGAUCAACGUUAAUCGGAUCAGGGUUAGGCGGGACCUAAGGCGUAUUCGAGAGGAGAAGUCGAUGGACAACCGGUUAAUAUUCCGGUUCUUACUUAAGUUGCGAUGUAGAGACGGAGGAGUGACAGAUACGCGUACAGACGGAAUAGUACGUUAAAUGGUGUAGAGUAAUAUAGGUGGGUUAAAAUACAUUUAUAUCGAACCUGACAGUACCGAGCGAUUACGGUCAAUCGGAAAGUUAUCGUAAACAGACUUCCAAGAAAAACUACUAAGCGUCAGAUUUAAGUAACCCGUACCGUAAACCGACACAGGUGGUUGAGGAGAGAAUCCUAAGGUGCUCGAGAGAAUCAUGGCUAAGGAACUCGGCAAAAUAGUCCUGUAACUUAGGGAGAAAGGACCCCUUGCGAGAGGGCGCAGAGAAAUGGCCCAGGCGACUGUUUAACAAAAACACAGGACUUUGCGAAAUUGAGAGAUGAAGUAUAAGGUCUGACACCUGCCCGGUGCCGGAAGGUUAAGAGGGGAUGUUAUUCUGAAAAGGAGAAGCAUUGAAUUGAAGCCCCGGUAAACGGCGGCCGUAACUAUAACGGUCCUAAGGUAGCGAAAUUCCUUGUCGGGUAAGUUCCGACCUGCACGAAUGGUGUAACGAUCUGGGCGCUGUCUCAGCCAUGAACUCGGUGAAAUUGUAGUCGCGGUGAAGAUGCCGCGUACCCGCAACGGGACGAAAAGACCCCGUGAACCUUUACUGCAGCUUAACGCUGCUUUUGGGUAAGUGAUGUGUAGGAUAGGUGGGAGACUAAGAAGUUGUAUCGUCAGGUAUAAUGGAGUCGCCGUUGAAAUACCACCCUUUGCUUGCUUGGAAGCUAACCUUUGAAAGGGGGACACCGUUUGGUGGGUAGUUUGACUGGGGUGGUCGCCUCCAAAAGAGUAACGGAGGCUUCCCAAGGUACCCUCCGCACGAAUGGUAACCGUGCAAAGAGUGUAUUAGCACAAGGGUGCUUGACUGAGAGACAUACAAGUCGACCAGGUACGAAAGUAGGGUAAAGUGAUCCGGUGGUUCAGCAUGGGUUGGCCAUCGCUCAAAGGAUAAAAGGUACUCCGGGGAUAACAGGCUGAUCGCCGCCAAGAGCUCAUAUCGACGCGGCGGUUUGGCACCUCGAUGUCGGCUCGUCACAUCCUGGGGCUGAAGUAGGUCCCAAGGGUUCGGCUGUUCGCCGAUUAAAGUGGCACGCGAGCUGGGUUCAGAACGUCGUGAGACAGUUCGGUCUCUAUCUGUUGUGGGCGUAAGAAACUUGAGGGGGUCUGACUUUAGUACGAGAGGACCGAGUUGGACGUACCGCUGGUGUAUCGGUUGUGGCGCCAGUUGCAUAGCCGAGUAGCUACGUACGGUUUAGAUAAGCGCUGAAAGCAUCUAAGCGCGAAGCUAGCCCCAAGAUGAGGUUUCUGCAUAGGGUCGUAGGAGACUACUACGUAGAUAGGUUGCAGGUGUAAAGGCAGUAAUGUCAAAGCCGAGCAAUACUAAUAGCCCGAGAAAUUUAUCUUG